This 482-nucleotide ribosomal RNA is filed under the name uncultured bacterium. RNAcentral describes it as "partial 16S ribosomal RNA". It matches the Rfam family "Bacterial small subunit ribosomal RNA", at positions 30 to 507 of the family's 1533-position model. The record is from RNAcentral.
AUUGAACGCUGGCGGCAUGCCUUACACAUGCAAGUCGAACGGUAACGGGCCUUCGGGUGCCGACGAGUGGCGUACGGGUGAGUAAUACAUCGGAACGUGCCCGAUCGUGGGGGAUAACGAGGCGAAAGCUUUGCUAAUACCGCAUACGAUCUACGGAUGAAAGCAGGGGACCGCAAGGCCUUGCGCGGACGGAGCGGCCGAUGGCAGAUUAGGUAGUUGGUGGGAUAAAAGCUUACCAAGCCGACGAUCUGUAGCUGGUCUGAGAGGAUGAUCAGCCACACUGGGACUGAGACACGGCCCAGACUCCUACGGGAGGCAGCAGUGGGGAAUUUUGGACAAUGGGCGCAAGCCUGAUCCAGCCAUGCCGCGUGCAGGAUGAAGGCCUUCGGGUUGUAAACUGCUUUUGUACGGAACGAAAAGCCUUCUUUUAAUACAGGAGGGUCAUGACGGUACCGUAAGAAUAAGCACCGGCUAACUACGUG